UGAACGCUGGCGGCGUGCUUAACACAUGCAAGUCGAACGAGAAGUGAAGACGGAAACCUUCGGGCGAAAGGCUUUAUUUCGAGUGGCGGACGGGUGAGUAACGCGUGGGUAACCUGCCUCAUACAGGGGGAUAACAGUUGGAAACGACUGUUAAUACCGCAUAAGACCACAGCACCGCAUGGUGCGGGGGUAAAAACUCCGGUGGUAUGAGAUGGACCCGCGUUCGAUUAGCCAGUUGGCGGGGUAACGGCCCACCAAAGCGACGAUCGAUAGCCGAUCUGAGAGGAUGACCGGCCACAUUGGGACUGAGACACGGCCCAAACUCCUACGGGAGGCAGCAGUGGGGAAUAUUGCACAAUGGGGGAAACCCUGAUGCAGCGACGCCGCGUGAGUGAAGAAGUAUUUCGGUAUGUAAAGCUCUAUCAGCAGGGAAGAAAAUGACGGUACCUGAGUAAGAAGCCCCGGCUAACUACGUG
This 476-nucleotide ribosomal RNA is filed under the name uncultured bacterium. RNAcentral's name for it is "partial 16S ribosomal RNA". It matches the Rfam family "Bacterial small subunit ribosomal RNA", at positions 30 to 507 of the family's 1533-position model. The record is from RNAcentral.